Molecule: long non-coding RNA, 527 nt
Filed under: Lactuca sativa (garden lettuce)
Lineage: Eukaryota; Viridiplantae; Streptophyta; Magnoliopsida; Asterales; Asteraceae
Description: long non-coding RNA (LSAT_LNC000402)
Source: RNAcentral
CAUCGCCGUCGGAAACGAAGUCGACCCAAACAGUGAUAACACUGUUAACCGACAAUAUGUCACCUUCGUACUUCCGGCGAUGCAAAAUGUUCACCGAGCUAUUGUAGACGCGGGAUUAGAUAAACAAAUCAAGGUCUCAACAGCAACCUACGCAGGUCUGUUAGAGAACGCAUAUCCUCCAAGCGAAGGCGUGUUUUAUAAAAACGUGACUAAUACAUUUAUCGGGCCGAUUAUUACGUUUCUAGCUCAAAACAAUUUGCCAAUGCUUGCCAAUAUCUACCCCUAUUUUGCUUGUCAGCGUAGCGCUGAUGUAAAUCUCCAGUAUUCAUUGUUUACAUCGGGUCCAUUAGUGCCAGAUAAGGAUUUAAUGUAUUCUAACCUUUUUGACGCCAUGUAUGAUGCUCAUUAUGCGGCUCAAGCACGUCUUGGUGGAGAGAAUGUGGAGAUUGUUGUGUCGGAGAGUGGAUGGCCGUCGUAUGGUCAUCGUGUAGCGACACCGGAAAACGCCAGAACUUAUUAUCGGAAUU